GACGCACGUAUUAGGCGGUUGGUUGACGAACGUGUCUCUUUCUGCGCGCUCGCUUGUCCGCGGCGGGUGUCGGCGGAGUGAGCGCCAUGACACGUUGGGCCUGUGCGGCGGCGCUGGCGCUCGAGCACGAGCUGGCGCUCUCCGGGCAGGGGCGCGCGGACAGGUGACCGUUGACGGAGAUGAAUUGAAUAAGCAGAAUCAAAAAUGAGAAUCUGGAUGUGACGUGAGCUAUCCAGGCAGGGAGCGAGUGAUGAAAUAAACACAAAGACUGCAGAGUCAAAAUCUGGAAACAUGACAUGAGGGUAAAAUUAUGCAGGGAGCGGCAUGAAUGUGAGCAGAUCUGUGGAUGCAUCAUCAAAUUAUAUUCAAAGGCGUUAAAUAAUUGAAAAUAUUUUUGUCUGUUCACUUGUUGAUGACAAACUAACUUCUACAACUGAUAUCUUAGUUUUUUGUACAUGCCAGUUAAAAAAAAAAAAAAUCAUUGUUGUGUCCAAAAGUUGCUCAUGUAUACAGUUAGAGCGAAAUAUUUUAUCUAAGCAAAAGGUAAUCUCCCUCAAUACUAUUUGUUUGAUGGAAGUAGCAGAGUGAAUACAUAUUCCCAAUCUUCUGAUUUUUGAAGCCUGGGGAAGUCGCACAGAUUCAAGCCACCUCAAUGGCCAGGAACAAUGAUUAUUUUGGGCCAAUUACGCAAUUAGUACCUUAUGCGGGCGAUCCCACGAUAUGGGGGUCGCAAUUUAGCAUAGCAAAUUUCUGGAAUUCUGCACGUGCAUCAAGAAAUGAGUUUAUAAAUCCACAUUUUCUGAGGGGCCUUUUCUAAAUCAGUUUUUUGGUAGUGAUUUGUGGAUUUCCAUUCAUAAAACCAAUCAGAUAUGUCGGAAGUUAGUUAUUUAUAAAUGACUCUUUGGCAGAGGCAAACUAGGCAAUUAGAGCCUUGUAUUUUUGUACAUUGCUUGUAUAUUAUGUUUUUAUUGCUUUCAUUCAUGUGAUGUUUCAGUUGAUUUAACUUGUAACAAUAAAAGCAUGAUAAAAAGA
Long non-coding RNA from Leucoraja erinaceus (little skate), 1032 nucleotides. RefSeq lists it as uncharacterized. Lineage: Eukaryota; Metazoa; Chordata; Chondrichthyes; Rajiformes; Rajidae. The transcript has 4 exons. The record is from RefSeq and is a predicted model, not a curated record.